This is a long non-coding RNA of Galeopterus variegatus (Sunda flying lemur), 744 nucleotides long. RefSeq lists it as uncharacterized. The transcript is spliced from 2 exons. The record is from RefSeq and is a predicted model, not a curated record. Lineage: Eukaryota; Metazoa; Chordata; Mammalia; Dermoptera; Cynocephalidae.
CCCCCCUCGCUCCCGCGCUCCGUGCGGCCGGACAUAGGCUGCAGGGACAGGGUCGCUGGCCCGUUUGUCCUCACUGCCUCCGGCCCAGGGCCACGCGGCCACCCUCGUUCCCCACCGUUACGUCCAACGCACAAAACGUUCCGAGGGAGAUUUUGACGAGUCGCCAAAUUCUGGAUGACACAGGGGUUGUGAGAUAAUCCAGAGUUUCCCUGGGAACCAGGACGUGUGGCUUUUGUUUUUGCUUUUCAUCUUCUACCUGGGAGCGGGGUUGGGGUCCAGCAAAGGAGCCUGCACAGAGGGUCGGGCAUGACCGGGGAGUGUCGGCUCCCGGGAGGGGGCGCUGGCCCUGGGCGCCCGCCCUUGCGAGCUCCGCCCAGAGCCCACGUGGCCCUCGGGAGGAGCUGCUCGUUCCGGCCCGCCACCCCGCCCGCAGCCCCUCUGCUCCAGAGCACCUGCAGGGGUGGGCUCAAGGGCGAGGAUGUGGGUCCUGCCAGCCGGGCUCCUCACAGUGUCUACUAACGACCAGCAUCUGCUAAUGUAAAUACUAAGGUGCUUCUCUGCAGCCAUUCAGUCACUGUGAUAGCAGCUCCUCGGCUUGUCCCCUUGCUUGGACUAUUUCUUCAUCGAGAUCCAAGUUUGGCAACCCAAGCCCUGUCAGCCCCUCUUGAAUCAGUGGACAACAAGGUCUCUAAAGUAAGGGUCAGAUGUUUGGACAUUUGUUAUCUAUUAAAUACAACAGAGCAC